Non-coding RNA from Myotis lucifugus (little brown bat), 73 nucleotides. NCBI's taxonomy places the organism in Eukaryota, Metazoa, Chordata, Mammalia, Chiroptera, Vespertilionidae. The record is from Rfam.
GCUUGUUUGGCUCAGUGGGUAGAGUGUCAGCCUGCAGACUGAAGAGUACUGGGUUCGAUUCCAAUCAAAGGCA